Molecule: ribosomal RNA, 1244 nt
Filed under: metagenome
Description: bacterial LSU rRNA
Rfam family: Bacterial large subunit ribosomal RNA
Source: RNAcentral
UGAAUACGAGACGCUAAGGCGUCGAAGUAGUGUAUGUCAUACUUCCAAGAAAAGCUUGCACUGUCAUAAGUAAAAAAUGCCUGUACCAUAACCGACACAGGUGGGUAGGUAGAGUAUACUAAGGGGCGCGAGAUAACUCUCUCUAAGGAACUCGGCAAAAUAACUCCGUAACUUCGGGAGAAGGAGUACCUUAUUCUAUAAGGUUGCAAUAACAAGAUCCAAGCAACUGUUUAUCAAAAACACAGGUCUCCGCUAAGUCGUAAGACGAUGUAUGGGGGCUGACGCCUGCCCAGUGCCAGAAGGUUAAAGAAGUCGGUUAGCAUUAGCGAAGCUGGUAACUGAAGCCCUGGUGAACGGCGGCCGUAACAAUAACGGUCCUAAGGUAGCGAAAUUCCUUGUCGGGUAAGUUCCGACCCGCACGAAAGGCGUAAUGAUUUGGAUACUGUCUCGGAGAGGGGCUCGGUGAAAUAGACUUGUCUGUGAAGAUGCGGACUACCUGCACCAGGACAGAAAGACCCUAUGAAGCUUUACUGUAACUUGAAAUUGAAAUUGGACUUUAUUCGCGCAGUAUAGGUGGGAGGUGUUGAUUAUAAUCUUGCGGGAUUAUUGGAGCCAUCAGUGAGAUACCACUCUUGUAAUGUUAGAUUUCUAACUUUGAAUCAUUAUCUGGUCAAAGGACAGUUUCAGGCGGGCAGUUUGACUGGGGCGGUCGCCUCCCAAACGGUAACGGAGGCGUACAAAGGUUUCCUCUGAACGGGUAGAAAUCGUAUCUAGAGUGUAAAGGCAUAAGGAAGCUUGACUGUGAGACCUACAAGUCGAACAGGGACGAAAGUCGGUCUUAGUGAUCUGACGGUACUGAGUGGAAAGGCCGUCACUCAACGGAUAAAAGUUACUCUAGGAUAACAGGCUGAUCUCCCCCAAGAGUUCACAUCGACGGGGAGGUUUGGCACCUCGAUGUCGGCUCAUCGCAUCCUGGGGCGGUAGUACGUCCCAAGGGUUGGGCUGUUCGCCCAUGAAAGCGGUACGCGAGCUGGGUUCAGAACGUCGUGAGACAGUUCGGUCCAUAUCCGGUGUAGGCGUUAGAAUAUUGAGAGGAGCCUUCUUUAGUACGAGAGGACCGAGAAGGACAUACCUCUGGUGUACCAGUUAUCGUGCCAACGGUAAACGCUGGGUAGCUAUGUAUGGAGUGGAUAACCGCUGAAAGCAUCUAAGUGGGAAGCCCACCUCAAGAUAAGUAUUCUCAU